This 263-nucleotide ribosomal RNA is filed under the name uncultured Piloderma. RNAcentral's name for it is "partial 28S ribosomal RNA". It matches the Rfam family "Eukaryotic large subunit ribosomal RNA", at positions 1 to 253 of the family's 3401-position model. The record is from RNAcentral. Lineage: Eukaryota; Fungi; Basidiomycota; Agaricomycetes; Atheliales; Atheliaceae.
UUGACCUCAAAUCAGGUAGGACUACCCGCUGAACUUAAGCAUAUCAAUAAGCGGAGGAAAAGAAACUAACAAGGAUUCCCCUAGUAACUGCGAGUGAAGCGGGAAAAGCUCAAAUUUAAAAUCUGGCGGUCUUGCGGCCGUCCGAGUUGUAAUCUGGAGAAGCGUUUAUCCGCGUCGGACCGUGUACAAGUCUUCUGGAAGGGAGCGUCGUAGAGGGUGAGAAUCCCGUCUUUGACACGGACAACCGGUGCUUUUGUGAUGCG